AGAAAAAGUAGCGAAGUUACCGUUACAGUUACCACAACAAAAGAGUAACUCGCUACAGUUAGUUACUUUUUGAAAUGUAGCGAUUUUACUUUUCAGCUACUUUUCUAUAACACAAAAAAAAAAUUCGAAAAAAAAACUAGAAAAAGUCCCUCACAACGUUCUAUUGCAUAAAAUAAAAAAGUAUGCUUUUUACUUCAUAUUGUAACUUAGAAGUAGUUGCUUCUCGAAGUUAGUGUUUGAAAGUUUCCACGCGAGAGUUAGUGUUUGAAGUUAGUGUUUGAGAGUUUCCCCGCAAAUCAAAAAACGAAAUCAAAAUACAAAAAUCAAAAGUGAUUAGUGUGCCAAGUGGGCCAGUUUUGGUAAGCAUGGUGGCCAUAGAAGUCGGAACUCGCUAAGGAGUGUGUAACACCUCACCUGCUGAAGCAACUAGCCCCGAAAAUGGAUGGCGCUCUAGUGUCCAGCCUAUUCCGGCCGCUGACGGCAGAUGCACGCAGACAAGGGGGUGCUAAGCUGCAGCGAGUUGGAGGGUCGCUGCGGUGAGCAUUGAAGGUGUUGGUGGUGGUAGCAAAUACUCAAGUGAGAGCCUUAAGGACUGAAGUGGAGAAGGGUUCCAUGUGAACAGCAGUUGAGCAUCGGUCAGUCGGUCCUAAGGAAAAGGAGUUCUUUCCGGAGCGGGAGCACUUUUUGUAGUGGAGAGAGCCCCGCAGUGACCGAAAGGGAAUCGGGUUAAUAAUCCCGAACCCGGACACGGAGAUUGGUCCUUCGGGGCCCAGUGCGGUAACGCAAACCAGCUCGGAGACGCCGAUGCGAGCCCCGGGAAGAGUUUUCUUUUCUCUGUAAGGAGAUCGAGUCUUUGGAAUGGGUUCGCCCCGAGAUAGGGAUGGUGGCUCCGUAGAGCAGUGCGGUUCUUGCGCUGUCGGGUGCGCUCGAGUCGGCCCUUGAAAAUACGAGUGAGGGAGUGUGAUUUUCGUGCCGGACCGUACCCACAUCAGUCUCCAAGGUGAACAGCCUCUAGUCGAUGCACCAAUGUAG
RNAcentral lists this non-coding RNA (1032 nucleotides) under Ixodes scapularis (black-legged tick). RNAcentral's name for it is "Eukaryotic large subunit ribosomal RNA". It matches the Rfam family "Eukaryotic large subunit ribosomal RNA", at positions 400 to 1903 of the family's 3401-position model. Lineage: Eukaryota; Metazoa; Arthropoda; Arachnida; Ixodida; Ixodidae. The record is from Rfam by way of RNAcentral.